GAUGAAGAACGUAGCGAAACGCGAUAUGUAAUGUGAAUUGCAGAAUUCAGUGAAUCAUCGAAUCUUUGAACGCAAAUGGCGCCUUCCAGUAUCCUGGGAGGCAUGCCUGUCCGAGCGUCGUUUCAACCCUCGAGCCCCCGUGGCCCGGCGUUGGGGAUCUGCCCAGGCAGUCCCCGAAAACCAGUGGCGGACCCGUUACAGGCCCUUCCCUUGCGUAGUAGCAUUCGCCUCGCAUCGGGAGCCGGCGGGCUUCCAGCCUCUAAACCCCCAUCAAGUCCGCCCCGGCGGCACCAAGGUUGACCUCGGAUCAGGUAGGAAUACCCGCUGAACUUAAGCAUAUCAAUAAGCGGAGGA
Molecule: unclassified non-coding RNA, 354 nt
Filed under: soil metagenome
Description: partial contains 5.8S ribosomal RNA, internal transcribed spacer 2, and large subunit ribosomal RNA
Rfam family: 5.8S ribosomal RNA (bases 1-120)
Source: RNAcentral